RNAcentral lists this ribosomal RNA (307 nucleotides) under Vibrio cincinnatiensis DSM 19608. RNAcentral's name for it is "bacterial LSU rRNA". It matches the Rfam family "Bacterial large subunit ribosomal RNA", at positions 2623 to 2925 of the family's 2925-position model. The record is from RNAcentral. Lineage: Bacteria; Pseudomonadati; Pseudomonadota; Gammaproteobacteria; Vibrionales; Vibrionaceae.
GAGACAGUUCGGUCCCUAUCUGCCGUGGGCGUUGGAGAAUUGAAGGGGGCUGCUCCUAGUACGAGAGGACCGGAGUGGACGAACCUCUGGUGUUCGGGUUGUCACGCCAGUGGCAUUGCCCGGUAGCUAAGUUCGGAAUUGAUAAGCGCUGAAAGCAUCUAAGCGCGAAGCGAGCCCUGAGAUGAGUUCUCCCUGGCAGUUUAACUGUCCUAAAGGGUUGUUCGAGACUAGAACGUUGAUAGGCAGGGUGUGUAAGCGUUGUGAGGCGUUGAGCUAACCUGUACUAAUGGCCCGUGAGGCUUAACCA